GACGAACGCUGGCGGCGUGCUUAACACAUGCAAGUCGAACGGAAAGGCCCUGCUUUUGUGGGGUGCUCGAGUGGCGAACGGGUGAGUAACACGUGAGUAACCUGCCCUUGACUUUGGGAUAACUUCAGGAAACUGGGGCUAAUACCGGAUAGGAGCUCCUGCUGCAUGGUGUGGGUUGGAAAGUUUCGGCGGUUGGGGAUGGACUCGCGGGUUAUCAGCUUGUUGGUGGGGUAGUGGCUUACCAAGGCUUUGACGGGUAGCCGGCCUGAGAGGGUGACCGGCCACAUUGGGACUGAGAUACGGACCAGACUCCUACGGGAGGCAGCAGUGGGGAAUAUUGCACAAUGGGCGGAAGCCUGAUGCAGCAACGCCGCGUGCGGGAUGACGGCCUUCGGGUUGUAAACCGCUUUCGCCUGUGACGAAGCGUGAGUGACGGUAAUGGGUAAAGAAGCACCGGCUAACUACGUG
This 468-nucleotide ribosomal RNA is filed under the name uncultured bacterium. RNAcentral describes it as "partial 16S ribosomal RNA". It matches the Rfam family "Bacterial small subunit ribosomal RNA", at positions 28 to 507 of the family's 1533-position model. The record is from RNAcentral.